AGGAACUAGCAAGAGAGAACCAAAUCUCAAGAAAUAACUGUGAUCUUUAAUACAUAAAGAAAUAAGAACAAUGCAAGCCCCAAAAACCGACUCAAAUCUAGAUGAUAUCCCUCGGACUAAGUACAAACUGAAAUGAACUUCCCUAAUAUA
Juglans microcarpa x Juglans regia is the source of this 150-nucleotide long non-coding RNA. RefSeq lists it as uncharacterized. The record is from RefSeq and is a predicted model, not a curated record. The transcript has 4 exons. Lineage: Eukaryota; Viridiplantae; Streptophyta; Magnoliopsida; Fagales; Juglandaceae.